AAAGCCUGACGGAGCAAUACCGCGUGAGGGAGGAAGGCUCUUGGGUUGUAAACCUCUUUUCUCAGGGAAUAAAAAAAUGAAGGUACCUGAGGAAUAAGCAUCGGCUAACUCCGUGCCAGCAGCCGCGGUAAUACGGAGGAUGCAAGCGUUAUCCGGAAUGAUUGGGCGUAAAGCGUCCGCAGGUGGCACUGUAAGUCUGCUGUUAAAGAGCAAGGCUCAACCUUGUAAAGGCAGUGGAAACUACAGAGCUAGAGUACGUUCGGGGCAGAGGGAAUUCCUGGUGUAGCGGUGAAAUGCGUAGAGAUCAGGAAGAACACCGGUGGCGAAAGC
This 330-nucleotide ribosomal RNA is filed under the name Nostoc sp. PCC 7120 = FACHB-418. RNAcentral's name for it is "bacterial SSU rRNA". It matches the Rfam family "Bacterial small subunit ribosomal RNA", at positions 378 to 722 of the family's 1533-position model. Lineage: Bacteria; Bacillati; Cyanobacteriota; Cyanophyceae; Nostocales; Nostocaceae. The record is from RNAcentral.